Molecule: ribosomal RNA, 492 nt
Filed under: uncultured bacterium
Lineage: Bacteria
Description: partial 16S ribosomal RNA
Rfam family: Bacterial small subunit ribosomal RNA
Source: RNAcentral
AGUGAACGCUGGCGGUAGGCCUAACACAUGCAAGUCGAACGGCAGCACAGUAAGAGCUUGCUCUUACGGGUGGCGAGUGGCGGACGGGUGAGGAAUACAUCGGAAUCUACUUUUUCGUGGGGGAUAACGUAGGGAAACUUACGCUAAUACCGCAUACGACCUACGGGUGAAAGCAGGGGAUCUUCUGACCUUGCGCGAUUGAAUGAGCCGAUGUCGGAUUAGCUAGUUGGCGGGGUAAAGGCCCACCAAGGCGACGAUCCGUAGCUGGUCUGAGAGUAUGAUCAGCCACACUGGAACUGAGACACGGUCCAGACUCCUACGGGAGGCAGCAGUGGGGAAUAUUGGACAAUGGGCGCAAGCCUGAUCCAGCCAUACCGCGUGGGUGAAGAAGGCCUUCGGGUUGUAAAGCCCUUUUGUUGGGAAAGAAAAGCAGCAGGUUAAUACCCCGCUGUUCUGACGGUACCCAAAGAAUAAGCACCGGCUAACUUCGUG